CCUUAUUUCUGACGAGUCCUAGGAGGGGAAUGUGUAAAGAAAUAACACUCACCUUUGUAUGAACAUUUUAUUUGUUUCCAAAAAAAAUUGAACACAAUACAAAUAAAAAGUAAUUUCCUCAAGAAAUAAUAUGGAUUGAGAAUCUUCACCAGCAUAAGAUACUCUGAAACAAAAACUGGAAAACAUGGAAGAACAGAGGCCCAGGCGGUUUCAUCAAGAUGGUUCCAAACAGGCAAGAAAAAGACAAUGAGAUCGACAAUUAAGUGACAAUCCAGAAACUCUGUAUGCCACUCUUGAUGGAGAUAAGGAAGACAAAUUUAUGUUUUAUACCAAAGAUGUAGGAGCAUGGCGCAAAAGACUAAAUGCAGCUUAUGGAGAGCCAAGUUCUACUAUAGAAGUCUGUGUUACAUGGAAGACAGAAGAAGGUACCAUUCAAUUAUUCCUAACAACUGGGAAAUGUCUCAUACAGGGCAAAGCGGAAAAAAGAGAAAGAUUUUGGAGAAUGUUUAGAGUGAUUUUGAACGGAGAAGCUGUUGAUCCACGUUAAAAAGCAACGACUGCUUCAAGAAUCAGAAAUCAGCUCCAGCGAGUCAUCUGAUAGAAACCAAAACUGAUCAACCUCAUGAUCAAUGCAGAAAAAGAAUGUCUUUAAAAAUAAACUUCAGAAGAAAGAGUUUAUUUUCCUUCCUAUGAAUUUUGAUGUAGUUUUUACUGAUUAAAUCUCACACACCUUCUUUUCCCCCCAAUCAUGUUCAGGAGGUAAUGUUAGAACCAGGGAGCAUUUUGAACUCACUCAGAAGGUGGUAGUUUGAGUCUCUCUCGUACUUGAACGUCAGCCUUCCAUAACUGACCUGGUUUAGAAUUUUCAGCCAUUCGAAAAAGGAAACAGUCACACCACCAGCGUUCAGGUACAUGUCCUGAAAAAGAGGAAAAACCUCAGGUUAUCUAGAGCUCCCCUUCUGCUUGUGAACAAAAUGUCUUCUUCAAACCUAAACUGUACUUUUUCAUUUCUGCCCAAUAAAGAUUGUUCUUAAAAAUGGC
This is a long non-coding RNA of Cyprinodon tularosa, 1041 nucleotides long. RefSeq lists it as uncharacterized. The transcript is spliced from 2 exons. The record is from RefSeq and is a predicted model, not a curated record. NCBI's taxonomy places the organism in Eukaryota, Metazoa, Chordata, Actinopteri, Cyprinodontiformes, Cyprinodontidae.